UACGGGGGGGGUAAGCGUUGUUCGGAAUUACUGGGCGUAAAGGGCUCGUAGGCGGCCAACUAAGUCGGACGUGAAAUCCCUCAGCUUAACUGGGGAACUGCGUCCGAUACUGGAUGGCUUGGAUUCGGGAGAGGAAUGCGGAAUUCCAGGUGCAGCGGUGAAAUGCGUAGAUAUCUGGAGGAACACCGGUGGCGAAGGCGGCAUUCUGGACCGACAUUGACGCUGAGGAGCGAAAGCCAGGGGAGCAAACGGG
This 253-nucleotide ribosomal RNA is filed under the name uncultured bacterium. RNAcentral's name for it is "partial 16S ribosomal RNA". It matches the Rfam family "Bacterial small subunit ribosomal RNA", at positions 524 to 776 of the family's 1533-position model. The record is from RNAcentral.